CCUACGGGAGGCAGCAGUGAGGAAUAUUGGUCAAUGGGAGAGAUCCUGAACCAGCCAAGCCGCGUGAGGGAAGACGGCCCUAUGGGUUGUAAACCUCUUUUGUCGGAGAACAAAACCCGGGACGUGUCCCGGACUGCGUGUAUCCGAAGAAAAAGCAUCGGCUAACUCCGUGCCAGCAGCCGCGGUAAUACGGAGGAUGCGAGCGUUAUCCGGCUUUAUUGGGUUUAAAGGGUGCGUAGGCGGUCCGUUAAGUCAGCGGUAAAAUUGCGGGGCUCAACCCCGUCUAGCCGUUGAAACUGGCAGACUUGAGUUGGCGAGAAGUACGCGGAAUGCGCGGUGAAGCGGUGAAAUGCAUAGAUAUCACGCAGAACCCCGAGUGCGAAGGCAGCAUGCCGGCUUCCGACUGACGCUGAAGCACGAAAGCGUGGGGAUCGAACAGGAUUAGAUACCCUUGUAGUC
Molecule: ribosomal RNA, 459 nt
Filed under: uncultured bacterium
Lineage: Bacteria
Description: partial 16S ribosomal RNA
Rfam family: Bacterial small subunit ribosomal RNA
Source: RNAcentral